AGUUUUGAUUCAUCAUGGAUAAUCUGUCAUCAGAAGAAAUUCAACAGAGAGCUCACCAGAUUACUGAUGAGUCUCUGGAAAGUACGAGGAGAAUCCUGGGUUUAGCCAUUGAGGUAAGAAAAUGUUAGUCAUCAACUUAAGUAUAGAAAUUUAUAGGAAAGAUCCUAAUACUUCUGGCUGGAAUUAGUAUUAAAGGGUAAUGUAUCAAUAUGCUUUAUUAUUUGAAAUUAACAGUUUCUGAAAUGUCAAACCAUGCACUAAUGGGAAUUUUCUGUUUUUCCCUUUGACAGUAUUGGAAUAUGACAGGGAAGAUGAAUUCACUAUGAGUUUGUGACUUAAUUAUUUUGGGGGGCUGCUAUGUUAAAGUGUGUUAGUUUAAGAAUACUAGUUCUGUCUGUAGCUCUAAUCCUCUGAGAGCUUGGGUUUCUAAAUUAUUCUGUGUUGCUCUUGUAGGUUUUGUUUCUGUUGUUUUUGGUUUGUUUUGUUGUACUAUCAGCUUUCUCCCCCCUUGUCUUAGUCUCAGGAUGCAGGAAUCAAGACCAUCACUAUGCUGGAUGAACAAAAGGAACAACUAAACCGCAUAGAAGAAGGCUUGGACCAAAUAAAUAAGGACAUGAGAGAGACAGAGAAGACUUUAACAGAACUCAACAAAUGCUGUGGCCUUUGUGUCUGCCCAUGUAAUAGAACAAAGAACUUUGAGUCUGGCAAGGCUUAUAAGACAACAUGGGGAGAUGGUGGAGAAAACUCACCUUGCAAUGUAGUAUCUAAACAGCCAGGCCCGGUGACAAAUGGUCAGCUUCAGCAACCAACAACAGGAGCAGCCAGUGGUGGAUACAUUAAACGCAUAACUAAUGAUGCCAGAGAAGAUGAAAUGGAAGAGAACCUGACUCAAGUGGGCAGUAUCCUGGGAAAUCUAAAAGACAUGGCCCUGAACAUAGGCAAUGAGAUUGAUGCUCAAAAUCCACAAAUAAAACGAAUCACAGACAAGGCUGACACCAACAGAGAUCGUAUUGAUAUUGC
Molecule: small RNA, 1020 nt
Filed under: Pan troglodytes (chimpanzee)
Lineage: Eukaryota; Metazoa; Chordata; Mammalia; Primates; Hominidae
Description: retained intron
Source: RNAcentral